RNAcentral lists this ribosomal RNA (496 nucleotides) under uncultured bacterium. Its description in RNAcentral is "partial 16S ribosomal RNA". It matches the Rfam family "Bacterial small subunit ribosomal RNA", at positions 28 to 506 of the family's 1533-position model. The record is from RNAcentral.
GAUGAACGCUGGCGGCGUGCCUAAUACAUGCAAGUCGAGCGAACAGACGAGGAGCUUGCUCCUCUGACGUUAGCGGCGGACGGGUGAGUAACACGUGGAUAACCUACCUAUAAGACUGGGAUAACUUCGGGAAACCGGAGCUAAUACCGGAUAAUAUAUUGAACCGCAUGGUUCAAUAGUGAAAGACGGUUUUGCUGUCACUUAUAGAUGGAUCCGCGCCGCAUUAGCUAGUUGGUAAGGUAACGGCUUACCAAGGCAACGAUGCGUAGCCGACCUGAGAGGGUGAUCGGCCACACUGGAGCUGAGACACGGUCCAGACUCCUACGGGCGGCAGCAGUAGGGAAUCUUCCGCAAUGGGCGAAAGCCUGACGGAGCAACGCCGCGUGAGUGAUGAAGGUCUUCGGAUCGUAAAACUCUGUUAUUAGGGAAGAACAAAUGUGUAAGUAACUAUGCACGUCUUGACGGUACCUAAUCAGAAAGCCACGGCUAACUACGU